UGCGCAGGCGGGAAAUUAAGUCAGUGGUGAAAGCCCCGAGCUCAACUUGGGAACUGCCGUUGAAACUGGUUUUCUUGAAUAUAGUUGAGGUAGGCGGAAUACAGCAUGUAGCGGUGAAAUGCAUAGAUAUGCUGUAGAACACCAAUUGCGAAGGCAGCUUACUAAACUAUUAUUGACGCUGAGGCACGAAAGCGUGGGGAGCGAACA
This 207-nucleotide ribosomal RNA is filed under the name uncultured bacterium. RNAcentral describes it as "partial 16S ribosomal RNA". It matches the Rfam family "Bacterial small subunit ribosomal RNA", at positions 568 to 774 of the family's 1533-position model. The record is from RNAcentral.